This is a long non-coding RNA of Cyprinus carpio (common carp), 451 nucleotides long. NCBI's taxonomy places the organism in Eukaryota, Metazoa, Chordata, Actinopteri, Cypriniformes, Cyprinidae. The record is from Ensembl.
UCGUCGUAAAAUUCUAAAGAUUUCUCUGGAAAUGACCUUUCACAUGUAAGUCUGAAUAGUUGUUUUUUGGUUUUAUUUUGUCAUUAUAACAUUAUGUUUACAUUAGUUAGCCACCAAAGUUUAUAAGAAAUGAUAUAAAGCUUACAUGAUUCUUAUGAAGUCUGAGCUUAUUUUAUAGUUUAUGAGAUCAUCUCCGAAGAGCUUGUCAUAUAAUCGUGGCUCAUUUAUAUUUUGCCCAUUUUAGCCAGUAGAACCAGGACAGCACAAACCUCAUGGAAGUCUGAAGAAAGCCAUGAUCAGUCUUGCCCGGACCAAUAUGGCGGAUGAUAUUGACGUAUCGCAGCAACGGUCCAAAGCGGCCAAUGAGCUGAAACAAUAAGCCAUGGACCAGAAACAUUGUGAAUAUCAUUCAAAUAUUGAUGAGCACUGGUGAGGAUCAGGUCCCACUCUU